CCAAAGACUUAUCCAUGGGAGUCAGACUGCGAGUGAUAAGAUCCGUAGUCGAAAGGGAAACAGCCCAGACCACCAGCUAAGGUCCCCAAGUAUCCGUUAAGUGGAAAAGGAUGUGGGGUUGCUUAGACAACCAGGAUGUUGGCUUAGAAGCAGCCACCAUUUAAAGAGUGCGUAAUAGCUCACUGGUCGAGUGACCCUGCGCCGAAAAUGUACCGGGGCUAAACGGAUCACCGAAGCUGUGGACUGUCCUUCGGACAGUGGUAGGAGAGCGUUCUAAGGGCUGAGAAGCCAGACCGGAAGGACUGGUGGAGCGCUUAGAAGUGAGAAUGCCGGUAUGAGUAGCGAAAGAGGGGUGAGAAUCCCCUCCACCGUAUGCCUAAGGUUUCCUGAGGAAGGCUCGUCCGCUCAGGGUUAGUCGGGACCUAAGCCGAGGCCGAAAGGCGUAGGCGAUGGACAACAGGUUGAGAUUCCUGUACCACCUCUUUUCCGUUUGAGCAAUGGAGGGACGCAGGAGGAUAGGGUAAGCGCGCUGUUGGAUAUGCGCGUCCAAGCAGGUAGGCUGGCAAGCAGGCAAAUCCGCUUGUCAUAAGGCUGAGCUGUGAUGGCGAGGGAAAUUAAGUACCGAAGUUCCUGAUUCCACACUGCCUAGAAAAGCUUCUAGCGAGGAAAAUGGUGCCCGUACCGCAAACCGACACAGGUAGGCGAGGAGAGAAUCCUAAGGUGAUCGAGAGAACUCUCGUUAAGGAACUCGGCAAAAUGACCCCGUAACUUCGGGAGAAGGGGUGCUCUGGUAGGGUGCAAGCCCGAGAGAGCCGCAGUGAAUAGGCCCAGGCGACUGUUUAGCAAAAACACAGGUCUCUGCGAAGCCGCAAGGCGAAGUAUAGGGGCUGACGCCUGCCCGGUGCUGGAAGGUUAAGAGGAGAGGUUAGCGCAAGCGAAGCUUUGAAUUGAAGCCCCAGUAAACGGCGGCCGUAACUAUAACGGUCCUAAGGUAGCGAAAUUCCUUGUCGGGUAAGUUCCGACCCGCACGAAAGGCGUAACGAUCUGGGCACUGUCUCAACGAGAGACUCGGUGAAAUUAUAGUACCUGUGAAGAUGCAGGUUACCCGCGACAGGACGGAAAGACCCCGUGGAGCUUUACUGCAGCCUGAUAUUGAAUUUUGGCACAGCUUGUACAGGAUAGGUAGGAGCCUUGGAAACCGGAGCGCCAGCUUCGGUGGAGGCAUCGGUGGGAUACUACCCUGGCUGUGUUGAACUUCUAACCCGCGGCCCUGAUCGGGCCGGGAGACAGUGUCAGGCGGGCAGUUUGACUGGGGCGGUCGCCUCCUAAAAUGUAACGGAGGCGCCCAAAGGUUCCCUCAGAAUGGUUGGAAAUCAUUCGCAGAGUGUAAAGGCACAAGGGAGCUUGACUGCGAGACCUACAAGUCGAGCAGGGACGAAAGUCGGGCUUAGUGAUCCGGUGGUUCCGCAUGGAAGGGCCAUCGCUCAACGGAUAAAAGCUACCCCGGGGAUAACAGGCUUAUCUCCCCCAAGAGUCCACAUCGACGGGGAGGUUUGGCACCUCGAUGUCGGCUCAUCGCAUCCUGGGGCUGUAGUCGGUCCCAAGGGUUGGGCUGUUCGCCCAUUAAAGCGGUACGCGAGCUGGGUUCAGAACGUCGUGAGACAGUUCGGUCCCUAUCCGUCGCGGGCGCAGGAAAUUUGAGAGGAGCUGUCCUUAGUACGAGAGGACCGGGAUGGACGCACCGCUGGUGUACCAGUUGUCUUGCCAAAGGCAUCGCUGGGUAGCUAUGUGCGGACGGGAUAAGUGCUGAAAGCAUCUAAGCAUGAAGCCCCCCUCAAGAUGAGAUUUCCCAUUCUUUGAAGUAAGACCCCUGAAAGAUGAUCAGGUUGAUAGGUUCGAGGUGGAAGCGUGGCGACACGUGCAGCUGACGAAUACUAAUCGGUCGAGGACUUAACCUAA
This 1959-nucleotide ribosomal RNA is filed under the name Metabacillus mangrovi. RNAcentral's name for it is "partial 23S ribosomal RNA". It matches the Rfam family "Bacterial large subunit ribosomal RNA", at positions 963 to 2925 of the family's 2925-position model. The record is from RNAcentral. Lineage: Bacteria; Bacillati; Bacillota; Bacilli; Caryophanales; Bacillaceae.